GUCCUUUAGCGCCGAGACUAAAAUUCACGUGGACUUUCCAGGAAAACGACAGUGUCCAGACGCCUCUGCAGUGCCCUCUCAGCACUGUCCAGGAAGGUGGCGAAAGAUUUGCAGGCAGCGAUAGGAGUGGAGGGAAUGUGCGGGCUGAAACCAAGUAGAGACGGGGUUUCGCCAUGUUGGCCAGGCUGAUCUCGAAUUCCUGACCUCAAGUGAUCCGCCCGCCUCGGCCUCCCAAAGUGCUGAGAUUACAGGAGCUGGAGCACAAUGCCCUGUCUCAGGUCACUGAGACUUCUGCCUGCCAGGUUCAAUCGAUUCUCUUCCCUCAGCCUCCCGAGUAGCUGGACUUACAGGCACCUGCCACCAUGCCCAGAUAAUUUUCAUAUUUUUGAUAGAGACGGGGUUUCACCAUUUUGGCCUGGCUGGUCUCUAACUCCUGACCUUCAGGUGAUCCACCUGCCUUGGCUUCCCAAAGUGCUGGGAUUACAGGUGUGAGCCACUGCGCCCACAACUAUUGCAUUUUAUUUCACUGUAUGUAUGUAAUACCUUAACCACACACACAAAAUUACCUUGUUCAAAUUUCCCAAAGUUAGAAUUCUACCAUUUCCCCAAAGUCUUGCUGCAUCUCCAUACCUCUUAGCCCUUGCCAGCUGCUGGGGUUGUCUUUUCAUCCUUUGCACCCUGGCAUACUCCUAUUCAUCCCUCAGAACCCAAAUGUCACCUCUUAUCUCUAAAAUGUUCCUAGACAUCCUUUUGCCAAAUAUCCCUUCCUCUGUGUUUACAAUGCAGAUU
This is a long non-coding RNA of Cebus imitator (Panamanian white-faced capuchin), 789 nucleotides long. RefSeq lists it as uncharacterized. The record is from RefSeq and is a predicted model, not a curated record. The transcript has 3 exons. NCBI's taxonomy places the organism in Eukaryota, Metazoa, Chordata, Mammalia, Primates, Cebidae.